GCAGGGGGACUCCUUCCAGCAGGGUGGGUUUGCACCCUUGGUGGCGGCGGGGAAACUCCUCUCUGAACACUCACAGGGGUAUGCGGCCAAUCUUGCGAGGAUUGUGACUCGGAGUGGCGCCAUUUUGGGAGUGAGGCAAUUUGCAUUACACAGUCUUGGAUAUUUGGAGCCUUUUGCUGCAGCUGGUAGGGAGGAAAAAAGGGGAACGCUGUCCUGCACCAGUUGUUUCUUGUAAAAGGGGAGAAAUAUCGGACACUGAUUUGGGAUUAUUUGUCCAAGUGCUUCCUUCUGAAAAGGCUUCUGAAACAAUCCUUAGGCAUUCAGGAAGUGAAUUGCAAGUUGAAGUCAUGAGCUUUUUCUUUCUAGCAGUGCAGAGCACCUUACCCUUGGACACUUUUGUCCAUGUCGCAUGGAUACACAGCUAAAUUUAUUAAGUUCUGAAUACUUUGCCUGCCAAAAUAAAGUUCUGUUUUGCAUUUAGUUACUUUUUAUCUUCCAUACAUGUUCUGAGUCAUAGCCAUAACCGAUUCUCUUCGUUGACUCCAGGCUAAAUGCAGCCCGAGUCACUGUGUAGAUGUUGCUGAAAAGUUUCAUGGCAGAUAUUUUUACACUUAUUUUUUGAUAUAGCCUAUGGUCAUUUUGCAAUGAGACCUACUUUCUAAAUCAAGUGGCUCAUAUACAUUUGCUUGUAAUUUUUCUUUUAUUAUUUUUUAAUAUUUUUAAUGAAAAAUGUUGUUGCCAAUAAACAAUAUGGUGGUAUCCAGAUAGCUGUUGUUUACAAAUACCUCUGUUACCUGAAGCUAGGAAAUGUUCCUGAGUUCAGAUGUGAAAUUUGGAUUUUUGGUCUCACAGGCUGUGGUGUAAAAAGUGUAUUUGUUUCACCUGUAGUUGAUGCUUCUUAUAGUGAAAUGUACAUGGAAUAGACAAAUGAAGAAACUGUCAGAGGGAAAGAAAGCUUCUUAGGGCAGAGACUUGGCAAAUUUUGGAAAUAGUCUUGCAGAAUCUGUAAGCAGGAAGGAUGGGUAGCUGAUUUCUAUGAGGUCAAAACUACAUCAAACAGCUAUGAAUGCAGUAUUGAUGAGAACUCUGGAUAUUAUCUCGAGGAAAACAAACUGGAAAAAUAUAAGUCAUGCAGUACUAAUACCUCAUCCAGCCCUCUUGGAUUAGGUAAGUAUUGUAGUGUUCAUAAAUCGAUUUUCUACUGAUAAAAUGUUUUUUUCAAGGGUACAGUUAAACUAGUAAUAUUACUGCCUAGAAGAUAUUGUUUGUUUUUUUUUUUUGGAGAACAUUGAAAUGAGCUUGCAGGAAAUAACCUUUACUUGCCAUUUUAACAAUUAAUGGAGUAUUUUUAAGAAUUUGCAGAAUACGUGUAUUGCUGCAAAAAAUUUGUAAGCAUGAAUUUUUUUUCAUGGAGAUCAAAAGUAUGUACAUCUCGACUGAAUCAUAGGUAACUUCCUAUUAAUACUUUAAUCACAACAAUGAACUUUUAUACUUAUUGAACAAGUCUGCUGUAGAGCUUGUGUGUCUCAGUCUUUCCAUUUGUAUUAGAUAUUUUUUCAGCAUGAAGUUGCUGAUAAUGUAGCUCUUUUAAAAAUUAAUUUCCUUCCAAUGUUCUUUGUCACUUAUGGAAGCCAGAUUUUAUUACAAAAAAUUAUUUGCUGCCUAUGCAAACUGGCUUUUACAUGUAUUGAUAUUUUAAGGUUGGAUUCAGAGUAAUUUCCUGCCCUGUAAUGGAAAUGAAUGACUGAUUAGUUUGAAAGCAUACCAUAACAAUCCCCCCAAAAUCUUUUUGGAAGGUUUCAAAACAAAAUAUAGUGGUGAACUAACCAAUUUUACAUGUUAUUCUUAGAUGUAUUGCUGCCCCCUUCCCUUGUAGUGGUUAAAUGUUUCUGAAUAUAGGUAUAGUUUAGCUAUUGGAAUGAAUAUAUUUAUAAUGUUUUUUGUAGGUUUGCUUUCAGCUGAAUUACUACUGCAUUGAAGAAAAUUAAGAUGAACAGAACAACUUAAUUCAGAAGUCAGAGGUAAUUUUACUAAGUUCUCUUCCCCUUACUGGACCUUGAUUAUUCAUAAAGUUUUAAUUAAUUAAAAUAUUAUUGGGUAGACUGUAAACUGAGUGUCUGGUAAAGGUGAAACAUUUACCUUUAGUUGCAACCUUGUCCAAAAUAUUUCAGAGCUUCUUAAUUACUGAAAUAUUAAUAAUAGUGAGUUAAUGGAAAAAUUUUUUUUAUCUAAGGGCACUGCAAAAAUGUUUGAUAAGAUGGCUUAUAUUAAAACCUUGAAGAAAAGUAAUUUUAAGCAUAUGAAACUUUGCCGAAAGAUUACUACAAUGGUGGUGGUUUUUUCUUUUUCUUCCCUGUGACUUGCUAUUUUGACCAUAAAUGAAUGACUUGCACCUAAAUAAGUAUUUUAAAUUCUUAAGCUCACUGAAGUAGUUCUGUUCUGUGUGUUGUUUUGUCAAUAUCUAAAAGUUGACCUAGCUUCAGUAUUUUGCCUUCUUAGAAUAUUUUUGCUGUUUUGUUAUUUUAACUUACAUUUCAGUUUUGCUGUUUUGAAAAUAUGGAAACUCUAGAACGUAAAUAGGAGUGUUUCUAUAAUUGCUUGGGGCUCUUCUAGAUGGAGUCUUGGUAUGGCUUGGCUUGGCUGAAUGAACUGAGCCACUCGUAAAGCAACCACACUAACAGAAUUACCUUCCUCAUUCUCUUUUAGUUGCGUCAGUGUUUUGCUUGAAAACACUUGGUAAAUGGGAAAAAUUCAGGUGUGAGUGCCCAUUUUAUUAGAUUUUUGUCUAUUAUGUGGCUAUAAACAUAGGAAUACAAGUACUUGCUUUUUAAAUCAUAGAAGAAGUGAUGUCUGUCUCUUACAAGCUAUUAACUUCCAGUGCUAUCUGAUACUUUUACCUCUUGACAAAAGGCUCUUAUUGAAACCAAGGAAUUGCAUUCUCUCCACUUACUAUUUUGGGUGGCAUUUUUACCUGGACUCCUUUCUCUUCUAUAUGUUUUGAAGAAUUUUCUUUUUAGUUUUAUAAAUUAGCCUUUUCAUUUUUCUGGUUGCUGGUAGGAUAGUUAUUUUUUUCUCUUCACUGUGUUUUGCAUUUGGGAAGUCCAUUUAUUUUUAUUUGUAUGUGUAUGUAUUUGACACAGAUUCAGGCAUGUGCCCUUGUGUACCCUAAGCAAAAUUCAUGCUUGGGUGAAGACCGUUGAGGAAAAAAUGCCUAGCAUGCCGGUCCUUCUUUAGGACUGCUCACAGUCUGUUAGGUGGUUUGCAGAUAGCUAUGAAGAUAAGGUCCUUGCCUUGGAAAGAUUAUACUUUAAACCUUGAUGUAAACAUAGCUUUUGUGCUGGAAUAACUGUCAGCAACUUGACUCUCUUACUGAUGCAUUUAUUCUGGUAGAAUUCAAAAGUGAGUACCUUUCUUGAGAAAUUAUAUUGAAUGGUGUAGGCUGCUCUUCUGUGAAAAAACUGCUGGUGGAAGCUUUUCAGUUUAAAUUUACGUAAUAGAAAUAAAAUCUGUAAAAUUAUAUAUGGAAAUUGUGUAGAUAUUUACUUUGUUACUAUUUCACUAGCUAAUGUACUUCAAGCUCUUUUUUUUUCUGUUCUAGUGAGAUUUUUCUGUUUAAAAUGUAUGGGUAAAAUGGUUUGAUAGUGAUAGUUCAUCUGUAAUUUCUGAGAAAGUUGCUCUUUAUUAUAAAUAAACUUGAAUGAGACUUGG
Molecule: long non-coding RNA, 3708 nt
Organism: Haemorhous mexicanus (house finch)
Lineage: Eukaryota; Metazoa; Chordata; Aves; Passeriformes; Fringillidae
Exons: 2
Source: RefSeq, a predicted model, not a curated record